GUGCCAGCAGCCGCGGUAAUACGGAGGAUGCAAGCGUUAUCCGGAUUUAUUGGGUUUAAAGGGUGCGUAGGCGGAAUAAUAAGUCAGCGGUGAAAUCCUGUGGCUCAACCAUAGAAUUGCCAUUGAUACUGUUAUUCUUGAGUAUAGUUGAAGUGGGCGGAAUGUGUAAUGUAGCGGUGAAAUGCUUAGAUAUUACACAGAACACCAAUUGCGAAGGCAGCUCACUAAGCUGUUACUGACGCUGAGGCACGAAAGCGUGGGGAGCAAACAGGAUUAGAUACCCUGGUAGUCC
Molecule: ribosomal RNA, 292 nt
Filed under: uncultured bacterium
Lineage: Bacteria
Description: partial 16S ribosomal RNA
Rfam family: Bacterial small subunit ribosomal RNA
Source: RNAcentral